GAAAAGAAGUAAAACCUCGAGUGCAACAAAGAUCUAUCACAGAUCUAAGAAAAUAAAGAAAGAAAGAACCUUGAAUGGCUUUUAGGGUUUCUCAGAAACCCCAGAGAUGAGAAGGCUUGGAAAGGAUCUGGUCUUGAAUAGGUCUGGACCAUAGCUAGGCCUUUCAAGGCUCAAACACGUUGGAGCGGAGCCGGAGAAGCCACAGGAACAUAGAUCAGCGGAGGAUCUGGACAGGCAUUGUUAAAGUUGAACCUCAAAACCCUCAAACAACCACGAUUUGGGGUGAAAGGGAGAUGGCACAGGCCAUUCAUGGCCUGAGAAGCCAUGGAUGCUGGUAGAAUUUUGUCGGAGAAGAUGAUAGGGAGCGGCUAGGGUUCGAAUGUUAGAGAGAGUUUGAGAGAAAC
This 404-nucleotide long non-coding RNA is filed under the name Nicotiana benthamiana. Its description in RNAcentral is "long non-coding RNA (NBEN_LNC031353)". Lineage: Eukaryota; Viridiplantae; Streptophyta; Magnoliopsida; Solanales; Solanaceae. The record is from RNAcentral.